Pleuronectes platessa (European plaice) is the source of this 1793-nucleotide long non-coding RNA. RefSeq lists it as uncharacterized. The transcript is spliced from 5 exons. The record is from RefSeq and is a predicted model, not a curated record. NCBI's taxonomy places the organism in Eukaryota, Metazoa, Chordata, Actinopteri, Pleuronectiformes, Pleuronectidae.
GUUAAAAGGCAGCGGAGAGAGCUGCUACGAGGUCACACACACAAGGAGACUGAGGGCUGAUGUUGGCCUCAAGGUGACAAGCCACCAGGACCAGGAGCUUGCUCUGGCCUCAUGGGCAGGACUCAGUAUAUCACCGUUAGACACUGGCCAGAUCAGCAGCACUUGACCGGGGAGGACAGACGUCUCCUGGGUGAUUUUAUACCUCAUUUGAUGAGACAGUUCAUAGAUGUGAAGCCACUGGGAGUAAUUAAGAAGGAUCACAACAAUUCCUCUCCAGCAAACCAUUUUGGACACUUGUUUUUCAAACAAAGGACAGGGUGGCUUGCACGAAAAACAGUUCUAUGCUGGACUCACUCAGGCAGCAUCAUAUCAAAGGUAGAAGAGACGUUAUCAUCCCCUGCUUAAUGGAAUAACUUGGAGAGUCUGGAGAGGACCUCAUCAAGGACUACCAGCAGGGAAGCCAAAGAGGACUUCUCUCAUCAUGACUUUAGGAUCAGAAGGAAAUACAGCACAGGAAGGCCACAACCCUGACAAUGUCGUUCAUCAUCAAGGGAAAAGAGGUUCUUGAUGACUGUUGCAAAUGAUUACCUGUUGCUCAAAGGUCUAAAAGAACAGAUUUUUUUUGGGAAAUAACUUACUGUAAUACUGUUUUGUAUUUCUUACAAAGCUAUUGCAUUUUACAGUGACACUUCAUUGAAAAUGUAAUCUGCAGAUAUACAAAUUGUUUUAUAUAUCGGGCCACACUGUCGAUCAUGAGGCAACUUUGUAUGGCUAAAAGAGUGUAUGUUCUGUUGUGGCAGUGGUUACAAAAUAUGCAAGCAUUGCAGGCUAGCUGAAAUAAACCUACUUCAAGGCCUUAAAGGGUUAGUUUGGAUUAUUUGAUAUGUGAUUGUAUGAGGUUCAUGGUGAAACAGCAUGGAGGCAAAGUAAUGAUGUGCCAUGGACGGGGUAAGCAAAAAAGGUAUUUUAGCAAGUUAAAAGACCAACUACAUGAAAACGCCAUAGGAGAUCUCACAUAUUUUUGUUUGUGUUAUUGUAUAACUUUGGGAAUCCGAACUGUCCCUAAAACACUGAAGUCACACAAUAACACAAACAAGCUAAGGAUCUAGGCUGGCACCUUUUUUAAAUGUCUAAAAUGCAUUUGUUGCUGACCCCACCCAGAGCAGUUUAUUACUUAACUUCUGUGCUGGUGCCUGUCUCUGCUUCUUCUAACUGGGGAUUUGCUGACCGCUAUCUACUGUAGUUUAUAUACACUGACUAUAGAAAAAAAUACCUCAUACAGUCACACAUUUAAUAAUCCUAUCAAACUGUUUAAGAGGUAAAAUGCAUUAGAAAGGUCACAUGUCCGAUUUGAAAAUGUUUUAGUCGGACUAAGUGUUUAAAAUGAAAGUCUGCAGUACUGAUGCUAGCACUGAUUUAGAUAUGAUUUAAUGCCCACCAGAUUGUAUCUGUGAAAACCAACCUCUUACAUCAGUGAAGGAGGGGGAAUAAAAGGUGCUGUUUCUGUAAAAACAUCUGUUAUUUCAUGUUUUAUAGAAGUCUUACAUUAAAACAAUCGUAUUGACAAAAGUAGCUCAUGUUAAAAAUUCAACAAAUCCAUAGUAUAACAGUGCUAUAAAGUAGAUCAAAUUUUAUGUAAAUAUUAAUUCUGAAAUGUCUGGAUAUAAAGUAAAUAAAAGGUAGUUCAUUCAAAAUUAUUCUAACUCUAAUUCACUAGCAAAAUGUUAGUACAUUUUGUACAUAAGGGUUAAAAUUGCCAGUAACAUCUACUUCUAUUCUUUAUCUACAAAUUC